CCUACGGGAGGCAGCAGUGGGGAAUAUUGGACAAUGGGGGCAACCCUGAUCCAGCCAUGCCGCGUGUGUGAAGAAGGCCCUCGGGUUGUAAAGCACUUUCAGUGAGGAAGAACGCCUGGUGGUUAAUACCCAUCAGGAAAGACAUCACUCACAGAAGAAGCACCGGCUAACUCCGUGCCAGCAGCCGCGGUAAUACGGAGGGUGCGAGCGUUAAUCGGAAUUACUGGGCGUAAAGCGCGCGUAGGUGGCUUGAUAAGCCGGUUGUGAAAGCCCCGGGCUCAACCUGGGAACGGCAUCCGGAACUGUCAAGCUAGAGUGCAGGAGAGGAAGGUAGAAUUCCCGGUGUAGCGGUGACAUGCGUAGAGAUCGGGAGGAAUACCAGUGGCGAAGGCGGCCUUCUGGACUGAAACUGACACUGAGGUGCGAAAGCGUGGGUAGCAAACAGGAUUAGAUACCCGAGUAGUC
RNAcentral lists this ribosomal RNA (465 nucleotides) under Vreelandella stevensii. Its description in RNAcentral is "partial 16S ribosomal RNA". It matches the Rfam family "Bacterial small subunit ribosomal RNA", at positions 338 to 795 of the family's 1533-position model. Lineage: Bacteria; Pseudomonadati; Pseudomonadota; Gammaproteobacteria; Oceanospirillales; Halomonadaceae. The record is from RNAcentral.